GAUGAACGCUGGCGGCGUGCCUAACACAUGCAAGUCGAACGAGAAGUUAACCGCUGAUUCCUUCGGGAUGAGGAGGUUAGCAGAAAGUGGCGAACGGGUGAGUAACGCGUGGGUAAUCUACCCUGUAAGUGGGGGAUAACCCUCCGAAAGGAGGGCUAAUACCGCAUAAUAUCUUCACUUCUAAAAGAAGAGAAGAUUAAAGAUGGCCUCUGUCUUAAGCUAUCACUUCAGGAUGAGCCUGCGUCCUAUUAGUUAGUUGGUGGGGUAAUGGCCUACCAAGACCACAAUGGGUAGCCGGUCUGAGAGGAUGUACGGCCACACUGGGACUGAGAUACGGCCCAGACUCCUACGGGAGGCAGCAGUGGGGAAUAUUGCGCAAUGGGGGAAACCCUGACGCAGCGACGCCGCGUGGAUGAUGAAGGCCUUUGGGUUGUAAAAUCCUGUUUUGGGGGAAGAAACCUUAAGGGUCCAAUAAACCCUUGAAUGACGGUACCC
RNAcentral lists this ribosomal RNA (495 nucleotides) under uncultured bacterium. Its description in RNAcentral is "bacterial SSU rRNA". It matches the Rfam family "Bacterial small subunit ribosomal RNA", at positions 28 to 480 of the family's 1533-position model. The record is from RNAcentral.